This is a long non-coding RNA of Suricata suricatta (meerkat), 794 nucleotides long. RefSeq lists it as uncharacterized. The transcript is spliced from 3 exons. The record is from RefSeq and is a predicted model, not a curated record. NCBI's taxonomy places the organism in Eukaryota, Metazoa, Chordata, Mammalia, Carnivora, Herpestidae.
UGCUGAGGGACAGUGCAAAAGGCCUCUUACUGUAACUUUGGUAAAGGUCAUUUUCCCCCCAAAUGACUGAAAUCUGAUUAAAAGCCUAGCUCUGGAGUUCUCCAUCCUUGUACACACACAUACGCAGCUACCCGGCAGCGGAGCCCUGACACCAAAGAUCACACUGAAUCAUAAAAGAAAUAACCACAGAGAAAUCAUCAGUGACUCAACAAGACACAUGGUGCUGUUCCCAGGCUAGCAGGUUUCUUUACAGCCAGGUGCCGUAACGGCAGGGCUUUGUUUGAGCACCGUCUCACCACCAUCCCACCACCGUCCAGAGGUGCCUCCCCAGCUGGUGGAAGCCCUGCCCCGUGAGGACGGGCCACUGCCCGGGCUGCCAUCGAUCGGCUGGGGAGGAGGCAUACUGGGGCGCUGGCUGAAUACUCGCUCUUGGACAUGGGCACUAAACAUGCUGAGGAAGAAGAUGCUGGGCAGCCACCAGAGGACUUAAGCCUAUAAAUGGACUUUAUGCCUAUAAAUGGAAUGGGUGUUACCACAUUUCAGGAAACAGCAACUAAGAUUAACAGCUGCAAGAGGAUUCCAUGAAAGAUACAUUAUCUUUUCCUCCAAAGCUACUGCUAGAUAUUAAUUAGUAGACUCUGCUUUCUGGAUUUAUGCUUAACAAAGAUUCCAGAGUUUUGCUUUCCCACAGAUUUAGGGGGCAGCUUAAUGGAAAAAGUGAAUGUAAUUCGAUCUUUCAGAAAUGAUUGUGAAGAAAAAAAACAUGUAAUAAAAUCUCAUCAAGUUCAAAGACA